GACGAACGCUGGCGGCGUGCUUAACACAUGCAAGUCGAACGGAAAGGCCCUGCUUUUGUGGGGUGCUCGAGUGGCGAACGGGUGAGUAACACGUGAGUAACCUGCCCUUGACUUUGGGAUAACUUCAGGAAACUGGGGCUAAUACCGGAUAGGAGCUCCUGCUGCAUGGGGGGGGUUGGAAAGUUUCGGCGGUUGGGGAUGGACUCGCGGCUUAUCAGCCUGUUGGUGGGGUAGUGGCUUACCAAGGCUUUGACGGGUAGCCGGCCUGGGAGGGUGACCGGCCACAUUGGGACUGAGAUACGGCCCAGACUCCUACGGGAGGCAGCAGUGGGGAAUAGUGCACAAUGGGCGGAAGCCUGAUGCAGCAACGCCGCGUGCGGGAUGACGGCCUUCGGGUUGUAAACCGCUUUCGCCUGUGACGAAGCGUGAGUGACGGUAAUGGGUAAAGAAGCACCGGCUAACUACGUG
RNAcentral lists this ribosomal RNA (468 nucleotides) under uncultured bacterium. RNAcentral's name for it is "partial 16S ribosomal RNA". It matches the Rfam family "Bacterial small subunit ribosomal RNA", at positions 28 to 507 of the family's 1533-position model. The record is from RNAcentral.